RNAcentral lists this ribosomal RNA (468 nucleotides) under uncultured bacterium. Its description in RNAcentral is "partial 16S ribosomal RNA". It matches the Rfam family "Bacterial small subunit ribosomal RNA", at positions 28 to 507 of the family's 1533-position model. The record is from RNAcentral.
GACGAACGCUGGCGGCGUGCUUAGCACAUGCAAGUCGAACGGAAAGGCCCUGCUUUUGUGGGGUGCUCGAGUGGCGAACGGGUGAGUAACACGUGAGUAACCUGCCCUUGACUUUGGGAUAACUUCAGGAAACUGGGGCUAAUACCGGAUAGGAGCUCCUGCUGCAUGGUGGGGGUUGGAAAGUUUCGGCGGUUGGGGAUGGACUCGCGGCUUAUCAGCUUGUUGGUGGGGUAGUGGCUUACCAAGGCUUUGACGGGUAGCCGGCCUGAGAGGGUGACCGGCCACAUUGGGACUGAGAUACGGCCCAGACUCCUACGGGAGGCAGCAGCGGGGUAUAUUGCACAAUGGGCGGAAGCCUGAUGCAGCAACGCCGCGUGCGGGAUGACGGCCUUCGGGUUGUAAACCGCUUUCGCCUGUGACGAAGCGUGAGUGACGGUAAUGGGUAAAGAAGCACCGGCUAACUACGUG